This 492-nucleotide ribosomal RNA is filed under the name uncultured bacterium. Its description in RNAcentral is "partial 16S ribosomal RNA". It matches the Rfam family "Bacterial small subunit ribosomal RNA", at positions 29 to 507 of the family's 1533-position model. The record is from RNAcentral.
AGUGAACGCUGGCGGUAGGCCUAACACAUGCAAGUCGAACGGCAGCACAGUAAGAGCUUGCUCUUACGGGUGGCGAGUGGCGGACGGGUGAGGAAUACAUCGGCAUCUACUUUUUCGUGGGGGAUAACGUAGGGAAACUUACGCUAAUACCGCAUACGACCUACGGGUGAAAGCAGGGGAUCUUCGGACCUUGCGCGAUUGAAUGAGCCGAUGUCGGAUUAGCUAGUUGGCGGGGUAAAGGCCCACCAAGGCGACGAUCCGUAGCUGGUCUGAGAGGAUGAUCAGCCACACUGGAACUGAGACACGGUCCAGACUCCUACGGGAGGCAGCAGUGGGGAAUAUUGGACAAUGGGCGCAAGCCUGAUCCAGCCAUCCCGCGUGGGUGAAGAAGGCCUUCGGGUUGUAAAGCCCUUUUGUUGGGAAAGAAAAGCAGCAGAUUAAUACCCCGCUGUUCUGACGGUACCCAAAGAAUAAGCACCGGCUAACUUCGUG